Molecule: small nuclear RNA, 106 nt
Organism: Fukomys damarensis (Damara mole-rat)
Lineage: Eukaryota; Metazoa; Chordata; Mammalia; Rodentia; Bathyergidae
Source: Ensembl
GUACUCGUUUGGCAGCACAUGUACUAAAAUUGGAAUGAUACAGAGAAGAUUAGCAUGGCCCCUGCCUCAUAAGGAAAAUUCGAUACAAGUCUUUUGUCCACUAUUG